RNAcentral lists this ribosomal RNA (230 nucleotides) under uncultured Eubacteriales bacterium. RNAcentral's name for it is "uncultured Clostridiales bacterium partial 16S ribosomal RNA". It matches the Rfam family "Bacterial small subunit ribosomal RNA", at positions 109 to 339 of the family's 1533-position model. The record is from RNAcentral. Lineage: Bacteria; Bacillati; Bacillota; Clostridia; Eubacteriales.
AGUAACGCGUGGGUAACCUGCCUCAUACAGGGGGAUAACAGUUAGAAAUGGCUGCUAAUACCGCAUAAGCGCACGGUACUGCAUGGUACAGUGUGAAAAACUCCGGUGGUAUGAGAUGGACCCGCGUUGGAUUAGCUAGUUGGCAGGGUAACGGCCUACCAAGGCGACGAUCCAUAGCCGGCCUGAGAGGGUGGACGGCCACAUUGGGACUGAGACACGGCCCAGACUCC